AUUGAACGCUGGCGGCAGGCCUAACACAUGCAAGUCGAGCGGAUGAAGGGAGCUUGCUCCUGGAUUCAGCGGCGGACGGGUGAGUAAUGCCUAGGAAUCUGCCUGGUAGUGGGGGAUAACGUCCGGAAACGGGCGCUAAUACCGCAUACGUUCUGAGGGAGAAAGUGGGGGAUCUUCGGACCUCACGCUAUCAGAUGAGCCUAGGUCGGAUUAGCUAGUUGGUGGGGUAAAGGCCUACCAAGGCGACGAUCCGUAACUGGUCUGAGAGGAUGAUCAGUCACACUGGAAUUGAGACACGGUCCAGACUCCUACGGGAGGCAGCAGUGGGGAAUAUUGGACAAUGGGCGAAAGCCUGAUCCAGCCAUGCCGCGUGUGUGAAGAAGGUCUUCGGAUUGUAAAGCACUUUAAGUUGGGAGGAAGGGCAGUAAGUUAAUACCUUGCUGUUUUGACGUUACCAACAGAAUAAGCACCGGCUAACUUCGUG
This 484-nucleotide ribosomal RNA is filed under the name uncultured bacterium. Its description in RNAcentral is "partial 16S ribosomal RNA". It matches the Rfam family "Bacterial small subunit ribosomal RNA", at positions 30 to 507 of the family's 1533-position model. The record is from RNAcentral.